Molecule: long non-coding RNA, 900 nt
Filed under: Homo sapiens (human)
Lineage: Eukaryota; Metazoa; Chordata; Mammalia; Primates; Hominidae
Description: PREDICTED lncRNA (TCONS_00190834)
Source: RNAcentral
GGGGCUCCAUCCUUACCUGGGGCAGGUCACUCCAGUGUGUGCUGUCGCGUUUCACUGUAGGAAGUGUAGACCUCAGUAAAAAUCCCAAGGAAAACCCCCAGACCCACUCAGGCUUCCUUCCUGCUUUGAACCACCUCAUGGCCCCCACCACACUGCCACUAAGCCACACUCCUGGCAGCCUCUGAGAUACCCCCUACCUGACCCUCCGCCACUCUCCUCCUCUGCCUCCCUCACUCCCAGCCUCUCUGGCCCCCUGGCUUUCCCUCCAACUCCAGGCUCCCCUCUCUCUGCCUCAGGGCCUUUGCCCCUGUCUUGCUCCCUGCCCCAGGCUCUUCCCCUCAGCCCUUCCCAGGUCUGGCUCCUUCUCCCUAGGCCUCAGCUCCAGUGUCUCAUCCCCAGAGACCUUCCCAGACCACCAUGUCUCAGACAGCCCCGGCUGCCUCCUGCCUGCCCUGCACCAGCCCUGAGCCAUCGCCUCAUUUUAUUCUCAUUCUAACUUGGAUAAUGGGAUCUGCCUCUUACCAACUGUGACCUUAGGCACAGGAUCAGCCCCAAAUUGAGCCUCAUUUUGUCCAUCUGUAAAAUGAGGAUGGCACUAGAGCCCCGUCUAGGGUGAAUGUGAAGGUCAGAGCCUGCACAAGUUGCUCAAUCAAGAAGAAGCUGCCAGGCACAGUGGCUUGUGCCUGUAACCCCAGAACUUUGAGAGGCUGAGCGGGGUGGAUCACCCAAAGUCAGGAGUUCAAGACCAGCCUGGCCAACAUGGUGAAAUGCCGUCUCUACUAAAAAUACAAAAAUUCGCUGGGUGUGGUGGUGGGUGCUUGUAAUCCUAGCUACUCAGGAGGCUGAGACAGGAGAAUCCCUUGAACCCAGAGGCAGAGGUUACAGUGAGCCGAGAUCGUG